This 621-nucleotide long non-coding RNA is filed under the name Struthio camelus australis. RNAcentral's name for it is "lncRNA (ENSSCUG00000007386.1)". The record is from RNAcentral. Lineage: Eukaryota; Metazoa; Chordata; Aves; Struthioniformes; Struthionidae.
UCAGGCCGUGGUCAGGGCUGUUUAAAUGGCCGCUGAGGACGGCCCGGAGGAGUGCUGCCCGUGUCCCCCUAGAGGAGGUGAGCCAGCGAGUCACACUCAGGGGCAGUGCUGGCGCGGGAACAAGGGGGCAUAAACCGGCCUCGGGUACGUUUUCGACGGAAGUGAGGCAAAAGUUGCUAACUGCCAGAGGGGCGAGCUUUCAAAACAGCCCUCGAAAGAGCAAGAGCACCAGCCCCGCUGUUUUAUCCAGCUCCAUCACAGACUUUAGGAAGGGCCUUAAAAACGGGAUAUGUGCAGUGCAUGAGAGCUGAUCGGACUGGCCCGGGAAAGGCCGUUUCCACUCCCGUGUUUCAACGAAUCUUGCAGUAUUUUACAGUUUCUUUGAUUCGUGUUUUUGUAUUCCUCAGUGCUGUUUUCUGACAGAUGUUAAUUCUAACAUUAUGCUUGGACACAAGCAUACAACUUCCUGCCCUGCUCAGGCUCUUGAGAAGGAGGAUGUAUCUGAAGAAGCAUGAAGAAGCUACCUCAGGAGCAGGAAGUUUGCCAGAGUCUGCGAGACCAGUUGGUUUUCAGGGCAUAAAAGAGUACUCAGAGAAGACAAGGUCGUUGCAGAGAAGCUAA